Yarrowia sp. B02 is the source of this 82-nucleotide non-coding RNA. The record is from the annotation of a GenBank genome assembly. NCBI's taxonomy places the organism in Eukaryota, Fungi, Ascomycota, Dipodascomycetes, Dipodascales.
GUCAAUUUGGCCGAGUGGUCUAAGGCGUCCGACUCAAGUUCGGAUCUCGCAAGAGGCGAGGGUUCGAAUCCCUCAGUUGACA